This 420-nucleotide long non-coding RNA is filed under the name Brassica napus (rape). RNAcentral describes it as "long non-coding RNA (BNAP_LNC007988)". The record is from RNAcentral. Lineage: Eukaryota; Viridiplantae; Streptophyta; Magnoliopsida; Brassicales; Brassicaceae.
AUUGGAAAUAUAUUAGAUUAUCUUAUAUAAAAAUACAUAAUCUUAUAAUUAACAAAAUUUGACGAAAAUUUAUUUAAAAAGAAUUUAUGAGAUUUAUUCAACUUCCUGGUGAUUUUCCACCACCUUAUGUAUCCAAAUGAAGCUUCUUUUUUUUUUUUGGUAACAAUGUUAAAGCUUUAUUACCAUUUUCAAGUUUUAGACAGAAAUACAGAGUUUACAAGAAGCAGAAGAUGCAAGAAAUUAAGCUAAACAUCAACUUAAUCUAAGCUAAACAAGGCAAACAACAUCUACAAGCAAAACAACAACAAGACCAUAGGCUACACCAAACUCAGCACAAACUCUUGCCACAAAAUUGGAACCACAGUUAAUCCGAGAACUGAACCCGGUAGAAUUGGCAGUACCCGAUGAUUAGUUCUUAAU